RNAcentral lists this long non-coding RNA (856 nucleotides) under Drosophila guanche. Lineage: Eukaryota; Metazoa; Arthropoda; Insecta; Diptera; Drosophilidae. The record is from RNAcentral.
UGUACCCACUCAUUGUCGGGAGGCGUCUGGCACAGCCUAAACUUUCAAAACGCAGCAUAAUUUGUACUCAAAAUGAGUAAGAACUUUAAGCAAAAAUAUGGACCGGAGUUGGAAGCCCAGCCGGACAGAAAUGCAUUUCUUUGCAGGAGUAAAAAUUCAGCGGGUGCACAUUGCAAGGCUUGCAAAAUAGACUUCAAGAGUCGCAUUGCCUCAAAAACAUAAAGACAAAAUUAAACUCUUGUGGCCCAUCUAAGGUAUUUAAACAAUUAUUUUGUCUGAUCUCUAUGUUAAAAUUCUCGUUUUUCAUUUAAAGAUUGAUUUGUUUGUGGAGGACAGAAGCAAAACUGUUGGCGCCAAAGAAGAAGAGCAGAACUUAUGUUUGUAGCUUAUUUGUUUUCAAUUGAUUUGAGUAGCGAGAAAGCAGAGGACUUGUUCGAAUCUUUAAAUAAUGGAAUAAAAUAAUUUGAUUUCGGUAUGGGAAAUAUAGGGUUUGCUGCUGACACCACAAAUGUCAUGUUUGGUGAGCAUAACAGCAUAGUGUCUAAGAUAAAAAAGGCAAAUGAUUCGGUACUUUUUGUAAAGUGUGUUUGUCACUCAGCAGCUCUAGAUUCAGGCUAUGCUUGUAAAAUGCUUCCAAGAAGUCUAGAGCAAACGAUUAAAGAUACAUUCAAUUAAUUUUCUAAGAGCUCAAAGCGACACUGAAAAUUUAAACUGUUUCACAAAUUGUUAAGUUCUCCAGAGCACCAAAUACUUAACCAUUAUGAAAUUCGUUGGUUGUCCCUGCAUUCUUGUAUUGCGCGUAUGCUUUAGCAGUGGGAUGCUCUUGUCCUUUUUUUUUUUUUGAGGAUGAAUGGAC